RNAcentral lists this small RNA (894 nucleotides) under Pan troglodytes (chimpanzee). RNAcentral describes it as "unitary pseudogene". Lineage: Eukaryota; Metazoa; Chordata; Mammalia; Primates; Hominidae. The record is from RNAcentral.
GACAGUGGGAACCAGACCACCUGGCUGAUCCUAGUGGGCUUCGGGGAGCUGCAAUACCUGGGCUUCCUUCCCUUCACUCUCUUCCUGGCCAUCUAUGUGGUGACAGUUGGGGGCAAUGCCCUCAUCAUGCUGGCUGUGGCCUCUAGUCGGACACUGCACCUACCAAUGUACUUCUUCCUCUGCCACUUCUCCCUGCUGGAGAUUGGCUAUACCUCCAACGUCAUACUAUGGCUGUUGCAGAGUUUCUUGGAGGGGAAGGAAGUCAUCUCUCUAGUCAGCUGUCUGGCUCAGUUCUACGUGUUUUCCUCGCUGGCUGCAGCUGAGUGCCUCCUGCUAUCUGCCGUGUCCUAUGACUGUUACUUGGCCAUCUGCUGCCCCCUUCACUAUCCUGCCCUGAUGAGCCCUGGUUUUGUCACUGCCUGGCCGCUGGUGCUUGGUUCAGUGGCUUCUUCUCCUCUGCCUUCACUAUGGCCCUGGCAGCACCUCUGUCCUGGCAGCAGGGAGAUUGACCACUAUUUCUGUGAGUUUGCUCCAGUAGUCAGGCAGUUCUGCGGGGAUGUGGGAGUCAUGUAGGGAGCUGAAGUCAGCAUCUCAGACUUCCUGACACUGGCCCCCUUCCUACUGAUUGUGGCAUCCUCUGCCUUCAUUGAGGGCUGUACUGCAAAUACCCUCAGGCCAUGAGAGGCAGAAGGCCUUCUUCACCUGUUCCUCCCACCUCACCGUAGUUGGGGUAUUUUAUGGCACCCUCAUUGUGGUCUAUGUGGCCCCAACAGAACACAUGUCCCCUUGCUUCUAAAGGUCUUCUCUGUCCUCUACACAGUGUUCACUCCCAUGGUCAACUCCAUCAUCCACAGCCUCAAGAACCAAGAGGUGAAGGGGGCUCUGCAUAGGCUC